This 435-nucleotide ribosomal RNA is filed under the name uncultured bacterium. RNAcentral describes it as "partial 16S ribosomal RNA". It matches the Rfam family "Bacterial small subunit ribosomal RNA", at positions 28 to 507 of the family's 1533-position model. The record is from RNAcentral.
GAUGAACGCUGGCGGUAUGCUUAACACAUGCAAGUCGAACGGACUCUUCGGAUUUAGUGGCGGACGGGUGAGUAACGCGUGGUAAUCUGGCGUUGGUUUCCGGACCACCACUGGAAACGGUUGCUAAUACCGGAUUUGCCGAGAGGUAAAAGAGAAAUUGCCUGAAGAUGAGCUCGCGUCUUAUUAGCUAGUUUGUGAGGUAAAGGAUCACCAAGGCAGCGAUCAUUAGGUGGUCUGAGGGGAUGAGCAGCCACACGGGGAAUGAGAGACGGACACGACUCCUGCGGGAGGCAGCAGUGGAGAAUUUACCGUAAGGGGCAACAGGCUGAAGGAGCAAUACGGCGUGGGUGAAGACGGUUCUUGGGUUGUAACCUUUUUUCAUUAGCGAAGAACAAAGUGACGGUACCUAAGGAAGAAGCACCGGCUAACUACGUG